This 23-nucleotide microRNA is filed under the name Triops cancriformis. RNAcentral's name for it is "tcf-miR-210-5p". Its record names the gene tcf-miR-210-5p. The record is from miRBase by way of RNAcentral. Lineage: Eukaryota; Metazoa; Arthropoda; Branchiopoda; Notostraca; Triopsidae.
AGCUGCUGGACACUGCUCAAGAU